RNA transcript from Anoplophora glabripennis (Asian longhorned beetle), 5172 nucleotides. It is a transcript of the gene named probable phospholipid-transporting ATPase IA, with no coding region annotated. Lineage: Eukaryota; Metazoa; Arthropoda; Insecta; Coleoptera; Cerambycidae. The record is from RefSeq and is a predicted model, not a curated record. The transcript has 18 exons.
CCUGUCACUUCUAAAAGUUAGAGCUGACAAUUCCAAAUGUAUAUGUGUCUAGGUUAAUUGUUUUAUAAAAAAUAAUUCUAUAAAAUGAAGUUGUGUUUUGUCUAAUAAUUACAUUCAAUUGAUAAUAUUAUGUUAAAAGACUGUAAGAAAAGAAAUGAGUAUGCUGAAUUGGAACUGAGAGUAGGGUGUCCAGUGAGGGAAGCCCACGAGACGGAUGCCAGAUCAGACUAUCGAGCUCGGCCAACUAUCUCCCUCCAGCCCUUCCAACGGCUCAACCAGACUAACAGAUCAUCAUGCCCCAGAUGAGGAUGGCACAGCCUCGUCGGCGAUUGAUAGAGAAACAGAGGAGUCUGGUUAUACUCAGGCAAAUGCUGAGCAGCGCGUGAUAUUUAUUAAUAGGGCCCAGCCCCCUGUACAUAAGUUUGUUAAUAAUAGAGUAUCAACAGCCAAAUAUAGUAUACUAAGAUUUAUACCCUUGUUUCUCUUCGAACAGUUUCGAAGAUGGGCCAACGUCUUCUUUUUAAUGAUAGCUCUGCUCCAGCAGAUACCGGAUGUUUCUCCGACUGGACGAUACACCACUCUAGUGCCUCUUAUUUUUAUACUUUCUGUGUCUGCUAUCAAGGAGAUCAUAGAAGAUAUAAAACGACACCGUGCUGAUGAUGAAACAAAUCAUAGAAGAGUAGAAGUUCUUAGGGGUGACAGCUGGAUCAAUGUAAGGUGGAAGGAUGUUAUUGUGGGGGACAUAGUGAAAGUACCAAAUAACACCUUUUUUCCAGCUGAUCUGGUUCUUUUAUCAUCAAGUGAACCUCAGGGAAUGAGUUUUAUAGAAACGGCUAAUCUUGAUGGUGAAACAAAUUUAAAAAUUAGACAGGGUCUUCAGAGUACAUCAAAGUUGACGACUAUACACGAUUUGAAGCAGUUGACGGGAACCAUAGAGUGUGAACCGCCAAAUAAACAUUUGUACGAAUUCAAUGGGGUUUUGAAAGAAACCAAUAAGACUCCUGAGUCUCUGGGACCUGAUCAAUUGCUGCUGAGAGGGGCAGUCUUGAGGAACACCUCGUGGAUUUUUGGCAUAGUGAUUUAUACUGGCCACGAAACCAAACUGAUGAGAAAUUCCACUACGGCACCUCUGAAACGUUCCACUGUAGAUAAACUUACUAAUAUACAGAUAUUAUUACUCUUCGGUGUGCUAUUCGUAAUGUGUUUAAUGUGUUCAGUAUUCAACGUCUUAUGGAAUAAUGUGCAUGCAGCCACUGACUGGUAUAUUGGAUUAGAAGAUAGUUCUCAGAAUUUCUUAUACAAUCUAUUAACUUUUGUAAUCCUGUUCAACAAUUUAAUCCCAAUAUCCUUACAAGUCACUUUAGAAGUCGUCAGAUUUAUACAAGCUAUUUUUAUAAAUAUGGAUAGUGAAAUGUACCACGCUGAGACUGAUACUCCAGCGAUGGCGAGAACCUCGAAUUUAAAUGAAGAAUUAGGCCAAGUAAAGUAUAUAUUUUCUGAUAAAACCGGCACUCUUACAAGAAAUGUCAUGGAAUUUAAGAGGUGCGCUAUCGGCCACGAUGUUUACGCAACAGCAGAAAACGUCGAAGAUGCUUUGCUUGUUCAACACUUCAAACAAGGACACAAGAACGCGGAACUCAUAAAAGAACUUCUAGUACUACUAUCCGUGUGCCACACCGUAAUACCGGAGAGAUUAGAAGACGGCAGCAUUAUAUACCACGCUGCCUCUCCGGAUGAAAGGGCUUUGGUGUACGGAGCGAGUAAGUUCGGUUAUGUCUUUGAAAGUCGCACUCCGGACACGGUAGAAAUAAACGCUCUGGGCGUUAAGGAACGCUACGAGAUUCUAACGGUUUUGGAAUUCACUUCCGCCAGGAAGAGGAUGUCUGUCAUCGUUAAAGAUCCGAACGGAAAAAUUAAGUUGUAUUGUAAGGGAGCGGAUAACGUCAUUUAUGAGAGGCUCGACAGUGGAGGCCGGGAACACAGCGAGGUGCUGUUGCAACAUCUGGAGCACUUUGCUACCGAAGGCCUACGGACGCUUUGCUGUGCCGUCGCCGAUUUGAAAAAGAGCGACUACGAGGAGUGGAGGCAGUUGUAUAACAAAGCGAGCAUUUCUUUGCAACACCGUGAAGAGAAAAUCGAGGAGGCGGCGAAUUUAAUAGAAAGAAAUCUGAAGUUGAUCGGCGCCACGGCCAUCGAGGAUAAACUUCAAGAAGGCGUCCCCGACGCAAUUGCCUCCUUACUUCAGGCGGACAUAAACGUUUGGGUCCUGACUGGUGACAAACAAGAGACUGCGAUUAAUAUCGGGUAUUCGUGCAAACUCUUAACCCACGGAAUCCCUCUUAUAGUUCUUAACGAAGACGGGUUAGAUAAAGUUAGAGAGUCGAUACUAAGACACUGCGAUGAAUUAGGCGACAACCUGGAGAAACAGAACGAAAUCGCUUUGGUCAUAGACGGAAAGACGCUGAAAUACGCUCUAACGUUCGAAUUGCGCACCGACUUCCUACGACUCUGCAUCUCCUGUAAAGUCGUCAUUUGCUGUCGGGUGUCUCCGAUGCAGAAAGCCGAGGUCGUCGAAGCCGUCACCAAAUACACAAAAGCCGUGACGCUCGCUAUCGGCGACGGCGCCAACGACGUUGCCAUGAUCCAAAAGGCACACGUUGGUGUGGGAAUAUCGGGAGCGGAAGGGUUACAAGCCGCCUGCGCUUCCGAUUACAGCAUAGCGCAGUUCAGAUUCCUGCUCCGUUUGCUCCUAGUUCACGGGGCGUGGAAUUACUCGAGGAUGUGCAAGCUGAUACUGUACAGCUUCUACAAAAACAUCUGCCUGUACGUCAUAGAGCUGUGGUUCGCCAUUUACUCGGGCUGGUCCGGGCAGAUUCUCUUCGAACGCUGGUCCAUCGGGCUGUACAACGUCUUAUUUACGGCUUUGCCUCCGUUGGCUAUGGGACUGUUCGACAAACCCUGCGGGGCGGAUAAGAUGAUGAUGUAUCCGAAGCUGUACAAGCCUUCCCAGAGCGGCGACCUGUUUAACAUAAAGGUGUUUUGGUUCUGGGUGAUCAACGGCAUGAUCCAUUCCGCCGUGCUGUUUUGGUUGCCCCUGUUGGCGUGCGAGCACGACAUAUUAUGGAUGAGCGGGAAGGACGGGGGGUAUCUGGUUUUCGGCAACUGUGUUUAUACGUAUGUGGUGGUGACUGUGUGUCUAAAAGCUGGCUUGGUCACGAAUUCUUGGACUUGGCUCACGCACUGCGCCAUCUGGGGAUCGAUAAUUCUAUGGUUUUUGUUUAUAAUCAUAUACAGUCUGUUCUGGCCGACCAUACCUUUUGGAAGCGUAAUGUCCGGCAUGUACAUAAUGCUAUUCUCUACCGCCGUCUUCUGGUUGGGACUGAUAGUCGUGCCGAUAAUAACCGCGUUGCCCGACCUUACUGUUAAAGUUGUACAAGGCACUAUAUUUAAGUCUCUCACCGACAUAGUUCGUGAAAGCGAAAUAAAAAAGAGCGAUUCUUCGACCAUCUUCCGAGGGGAGCCCAAAAACUCACCUUUGCAUGCAUUGGAGCAAUUCGCAAUAUACUGUCGGAGACCGCUCGUUUGUUGAAGAACGUGUUCUCUCGAAGAACCACCCCCAGGAUUGAGAUGGAAGUGGAGCUGUCGCAUGGAUUCGCAUUCUCACAAGAAGAAGGAGGCGCCGUUUCGCAAACAGAAGUUAUACGAGCCUACAAUACAAAUAUUCCAAAGCCCGCCGGAAUGUAAAGGAAUAUUGAGGAGCAACACUAGAACUUUCACAAACACUUUCAAAACCGAAUGGCCAAAAUGUUGUUUUCGUUUGUGUGAAGGGUGAAAUGUACAUGUUAUGUUUUUAGCGUUAAUUUUUUAAAUUGGGUUAAAGUAUGACGCAACUGCUACAAUUUUGUUGUUUAUACUUGUUAACUUUAUUUGUAGGAGUAAGAUUAAAAAUAUAUGCACAUAUUUUAUGGUGAUUUAUCAGUAAAGUUUUGCGAGUGGAUGAUGGUGCCAAGGUACUAGGAAAUCAUCGCUAUAUGUAAUUUAUUGGUUUAUGUCAUUCGAACAUCAAAAAAUAUGUCUUUUAUUUGAUAUUUUUAGAGAAAAGUGCAGUCUGUACGAUAUUUGUUGACAUAGAAUUCCAAGAAGAGCCCUGCGUCACUGCCUCUGCUGCGGUAAAUUGUUACAGUAGUUCGGAUAACAGAACUUUAUUGGCCCUCUCAACAAAAACAAACAUUGUACAGACUCUAUAUAUUAAUAUUUUUUAAGGAAAUCUCUGCCUACAUAUCUGCGAAUUUGAGGGUAAUAGUCAAAACAUUUACAAAACAAAGGAUCAGUUUUAGUUUCUACAUACGGAUAUGUAUAUUUCAUUCUAUCACUUCAGGUAACGAGUGUGUCAAAAUACUACAAUCACUGAAUUUAGAUAUACUGCUACUUAGAAGAUAUCACUUAAAUUCAUGUGCCUUUCUGUCUUUCCUUUUAUAGAUCAAAUAUACUGAUACAUUUUUUCACGUACAAUUAACUAUGCAGCUUGAUGUGGUCGGAUGUAAAUUUCAAUUGCAAGGGUCAAGGUUGAAAUUUAGGUAACAUUAAUAGCAUAAAAUUUUGUGAGCGAAAUUUUUAAUACCAGAUUAAAUAUAUCCAUGUGGUAUUGCGUUAAUUUUCUCUUAAAUUUUUUUCAUUUUGAUUUUUGAAUCCUGUUCACAUUUUUUGCUAUGUAAAUAAGUUUGCAGCUUCAUAGAAUGAAAUAUAUAAUAAUAAUAAUUAUUAAAUGCCUUAAGGUGUUUGCUUUAAAUGUUUAAAAAGACGGGUUGGUAAGAAUUGAAACUAUUAUUUUUAUUAAAUUAAAUCACAUGGAACGAUAGCAGCUGACAAUUUGUCUCUUAUAUACCGAUUAAAGAAUUUGUGAAUAUGAAAAAGCAAAUCUGCUGUACGGGGUGUUCCACCAGAAGUGUUCCUCCCUGGUUUUUAUGUAUCGAGUUUUCAGAUGUAAAAACAUGUAAGAAUAAAUGUUGCAUGGCAUAUUUUCUGUCUAAAGGUAAGUUGUUAGUCGCGAAACCUAUUUUAAGGGGGGAAUAUGAAAUUGUCAUUUGGAAUUAUUCGCAUUGGGAAAUCUUAACUCUUAACAUUUCUGAGUUGGUAAAAUUGGAGAUAAAUUACAUUUUGGUUGCUGCACAU